UAGUGUGUACGUUGUGUAUCUGAGUGUGUCAUUUAACAUACAGUAUACAGUGUGUGCCCCAGUGUUUCUGUUUUACCUUCAUUUUGUUUCUAUUGAAUUUCAUUGUAGGAUGAGUCUAAAUCUGAAAAUUACUAAGUCAAUAAAAAGAUAUUUCCGUUUCCCAGGCAGCUUCCUCUCUUGUUAGCUUUGCAGGUUACUGUAGUAUAUUUUUCAAAUAAAGAAUCAAUAUUGAUUAAAUCUAAACUUUACUUGUAUUUCCCUAACUUUAUUUCCUCUAGCCUAAUAUCUUUUCUGUAUUCUAGAAGUCCCUCAAGGACUGCCUGUGUCUGGAGGCUCCCCCUGGCUGAGACAGACAGACAGAUCAUCAAGGACAACUCAGAUCUGAGAAAGUUUUGAAGAAUGCUAAUUCUUCAGGAUGCCCUGAAAUAUGGAAUGUCGCCAGAUGUAUUGACUUACCAGCGGUGGCUCCAGUGCCAUCUGGCCUCACGGAGGCCGUGCUGGGGAUGGAAAGGCUCAACAGAAGACGUGAAUCCAUUCAUCGGACGGUGGCCCGUGUAAAGGAAGAUGAGCUACCAGAGGAGGACCAUUUUUUUUUCCUUCAGUCAAGUCUUCUUUACAAUGACACCACUGAGGCUUUUAAAGAGAAUGAUUCAUUGCCAUGGGGCCACCUGUGCUUUGCUUAGCAUCCUGCAUCCCUGACCUCCAUGUACCAUGAGCCUGUAUCUUUGAAGAUGACGACAGCUCAAAGCAUUUCCAGACAUUUCCAAGUGUCCUCUGGGGCAGCUAAAAGUGGCUCUAGACAUCUCCAAGUGUUCCCUGGGAGUGAGGGCAAGCUACCUUCUACCCCCAAACUGGUUUAGCACCACUACCUUACUGGAAAUCAUAGAUCUUUAAUAAAAAGCACAUCUAGAAUAAAUUAAUUUUUUAAAA
Long non-coding RNA from Mastomys coucha (southern multimammate mouse), 930 nucleotides. RefSeq lists it as uncharacterized. The transcript has 3 exons. The record is from RefSeq and is a predicted model, not a curated record. NCBI's taxonomy places the organism in Eukaryota, Metazoa, Chordata, Mammalia, Rodentia, Muridae.